GACGAACGCUGGCGGCGUGCUUAACACAUGCAAGUCGAACGGAAAGGCCCUGCUUUUGUGGGGUGCUCGAGUGGCGAACGGGUGAGUAACACGUGAGUAACCUGCCCUUGACUUUGGGAUAACUUCAGGAAACUGGGGCUAAUACCGGAUAGGAGCUCCUGCUGCAUGGUGGGGGUUGGAAAGUUUCGGCGGUUGGGGAUGGACUCGCGGCUUAUCAGCUUGUUGGUGGGGUAGUGGCUUACCAAGGCUUUGACGGGUAGCCGGCCUGAGAGGGUGACCGGCCACAUUGGGACUGAGAUACGGCCCAGACUGCUAAGGGAGGCAGCAGUGGGGAAUAUUGCACAAUGGGCGGAAGCCAGAUGCAGCAACGCCGCGUGCGGGAUGACGGCCUUCGGGUUGUAAACCGCUUUCGCCUGUGACGAAGCGUGAGUGACGGUAAUGGGUAAAGAAGCACCGGCUAACUACGUG
Molecule: ribosomal RNA, 468 nt
Filed under: uncultured bacterium
Lineage: Bacteria
Description: partial 16S ribosomal RNA
Rfam family: Bacterial small subunit ribosomal RNA
Source: RNAcentral